This is a non-coding RNA of Pantherophis guttatus, 351 nucleotides long. The record is from RefSeq and is a predicted model, not a curated record. NCBI's taxonomy places the organism in Eukaryota, Metazoa, Chordata, Lepidosauria, Squamata, Colubridae.
GGGUUGCUCCUGAUUCAGUCCAGUUCUUGCGAACUGGUAGUAACGAUGGCGGGAGGCUCCGCCUACCCACCCAGACGUCAUCACGAACGAUCUGCACAUGUGCAGAAGCGCAGGCGCUCCCAUUGCACACCGGUAGCGGAGACAUCAUAUUCUGAAGAAGAAGAAUCUUCUCCUAGAUGUUCACCAAUAGAAGAUAAAUAGUGCCAGGAAUCAGACUUAACACAUAAAGGUGUGCAGUGCAUCAGAUCCAAAGCAGGAAAAGUACUUCAGAUCUACAACAAACAUGCUCUUGGUGUCAACUGGUGGGUAAUUAAAGAGCUAAGUGGUCUUAGGAAAAUAUGUUUGAAUUAA